Gossypium arboreum is the source of this 137-nucleotide microRNA precursor. It matches the Rfam family "MIR7502 microRNA precursor family". Lineage: Eukaryota; Viridiplantae; Streptophyta; Magnoliopsida; Malvales; Malvaceae. The record is from Rfam.
UGUUAAAAAUUUCAUACAUUUCUAUAGUUAAAAAUUAGUGCGGCAAACGGAAUAACCAGAUAAUCACGCCACGUGUACAUCGUGCCAACGUAGAGGAAACCAUUUUUAACAAUAGAAAUAAAUAUAAUUUUUUUACA